Molecule: long non-coding RNA, 569 nt
Filed under: Macaca mulatta (Rhesus monkey)
Lineage: Eukaryota; Metazoa; Chordata; Mammalia; Primates; Cercopithecidae
Description: lncRNA (ENSMMUG00000051061.1)
Source: RNAcentral
CUUUAGUUGUUAAUAUGAACAUAUUAUUUCUGUAACUCAAAUAAUCAAAAUUCUGCAUACAUAUAUGUGCAUAUAUAUACACACAUAAUUUUGAGCAUACCAAGUCUUUUCCCUACAAUUAGUACAUAGCUUGUAAGUUUAGAACUAUAAAAUAGUUUUGAAUACCAUGAUUUUCAAUUGCAGGCAGUUGAGAGUGAAAAACUGAUUCAAUAGGGGCCCAAGCCAGCCUCAAAAAGCCCAAAGAACUGGAGGUGUCGGAGAGAGUUCUUCAUCCCCAAAUCCCCCAGAAGGAAUGUGAAAGUACUGAGAGGAACAGUGGAUUGCAAGUUGCUUGGAGUAGGACAAAGAGGAUGGAUAGUGACACUAGCCACUGUGGAAUCGGACAGGACUGUGGACACCCGUCAUUAUUUCUGGUUUAUCACAAAGGCUCAGGUAGCUAUCAGGAUUACACAGGCAUACCUGGAAAGGAAUUGGGCUUGGAGCAUGGUUGCGCCUGAAAAAGAAAUCUGUCAAUUACUGAACAAUGGCUAUCUGGAUAGUCAUAUGUCAGUAAAGAGCAUUCAAGGGAA